AGAUCAUGGUGGGGGCAAUUCCUUAAUAAGCCUUUGUACCUUUCCCGCGCCUCAUAAAGUGACUCUCCCACUUGUUGCUCAAAUUUUGCAAUUGCUUUCUUCAAUUU
This is a small nucleolar RNA of Lactuca sativa (garden lettuce), 107 nucleotides long. NCBI's taxonomy places the organism in Eukaryota, Viridiplantae, Streptophyta, Magnoliopsida, Asterales, Asteraceae. The record is from RefSeq and is a predicted model, not a curated record.